AAUGGAACCACACAUUUGGAAGGCUCCAUCUCUACCAGGCCAAAGGCACAUCUCUCCGCCUCAUGCUGUUUCAAAGUUUUGGUACAUGAUGCUCCCAUCCUGGGCCUCCUCUGGAAGAAGUUGGUCUCCAGAGACCAGUACAUGAUAGGAAAAAUGGAGCAGAGCAUACUUAUUGAGAAGGGUCUUACAUUUUGUUUUUUGUUUUUUGUUUUUCCUUUGGUAUAGUCGUGUUGGUGCUCUUGUAUUGACGUAAGCAACAAGAGACUGUUGCCUGUUGUCUGAGUAUCAGCUACAAAAGUGAAAGGCUAGCUCAACAACAGAAGAGAAACCUGUUUCACAAAUCGUCACGAAGGCAAAACAGAGCUAGAAACUGGACCAGAUUGGCCAUUGGGUGGUUGACAAAACAUCAUGGCGCCGGUGAAUUAAAGAACUCAGAAAACUAGAGAUAGCUUGGUACCUGGAGGUGAUGGAGCCUCUAGUGUUUCAACCAUUCACUCACUCGAAGCUAUUUGUGGAGGACCUCCUCCAGGAGCAGGGAAGAGAGCAGUGUGAACAACACAGAAAAAUCGCUAGUGCUGGAGACAGAUAAUCAACCAGAUAGAAAUAUAAGCUGGAUCUGGACCUGCCACAGCUUUUCUGCUGCCUCCUCUUCAUCCAAAGAAACACGUGACUUGGAUGGACAACUGAUGUACAAGUCAGCUGAACAAAAGCAAUCCAAACACUGUAGACUUCCUCCUUUGGCCCUUCUUAGAAGCCUGAUUCAGAUCUUAAAGCACCUUUUUUUUUUUUUUUUAAUUUUGUGGCCACAGGUAGCAUAUGGAAGUUCCCUGGCCAGGGAUUGCUCCACGCUGCAGCUGCCACCUAUGCCACAGCUAUGGUGAUGUGGGAUCCUUUAACCCACUGUGCCAGGCAGGGAUUGAACCCUCACCUCUGCAAGGUGCUGCAGUUGGAUUCUUAACCCACUGUACCAUAGCAGGAAUUCUGAUCUUGGUGCCUUUUUAAGACAUGUCCACAGCACAGUGCCUAGCAGGACCCCUGGGACAUAGCAGGUGGAUCAAUAAAUUGAAUUACAUUAUGUCA
Molecule: long non-coding RNA, 1080 nt
Filed under: Sus scrofa (pig)
Lineage: Eukaryota; Metazoa; Chordata; Mammalia; Artiodactyla; Suidae
Description: lncRNA (ENSSSCG00070003627.1)
Source: RNAcentral